CCGUGGGAAGGAUGUAGCUGUUCACUUCAGAAAGAAUACAAUUAUUGCAAGAUGACUUCACCGGCUAAAGGCUAGCGAUGCUCAUAUCAGGUGGAGUUACAGAGGUCACUUACAUGUGGAGCAGAGAACUUCAGAGCCUCGCUUGUUAAAUGUUAUACUAAUGCAAUUCAGCGAUUGCCUGAAGACACCAUGGACCUAAGCUCAACUUUUCAAAGCAUAGGAGUAGGGCAUGAGCUGGUGGCUGAACAUGAAGCAGCAAAGCAGGCCCAGACCACAACACUACCACAUCCAUCUUUGUUGGUAUGAUGCUGUUUUUAUGACAUGCUGUGUUAGUUUUAUGCAGAUGUAGCAGGACUCAACACUUCCAAAGAGUUCAGCUUUUGUCUCAUUAGCAGAUUUUUGUCCC
Long non-coding RNA from Oreochromis aureus, 406 nucleotides. Lineage: Eukaryota; Metazoa; Chordata; Actinopteri; Cichliformes; Cichlidae. The record is from Ensembl.